GAUGAACGCUGGCGGCGUGCCUAAUACAUGCAAGUCGAGCGAACAGAUGAGGAGCUUGCUCCUCUGACGUUAGCGGCGGACGGGUGAGUAACACGUGGAUAACCUACCUAUAAGACUGGGAUAACUACGGGAAACCGGAGCUAAUACCGGAUAAUAUAUUGAACCGCAUGGUUCAAUAGUGAAAGACGGUUUUGCUGUCACUUAUAGAUGGAUCCGCGCCGCAUUAGCUAGUUGGUAAGGUAACGGCUUACCAAGGCAACGAUGCGUAGCCGACCUGAGAGGGUGAUCGGCCACACUGGAACUGAGACACGGUCCAGACUCCUACGGGAGGCAGCAGUAGGGAAUCUUCCGCAAUGGGCGAAAGCCUGACGGAGCAACGCCGCGUGAGUGAUGAAGAUCUUCGGAUCGUAAAACUCUGUUAUUAGGGAAGAACAAAUGUGUAAGUAACUAUGCACGUCUUGACGGUACCUAAUCAGAAAGCCACGGCUAACUACGUG
Molecule: ribosomal RNA, 497 nt
Filed under: uncultured bacterium
Lineage: Bacteria
Description: partial 16S ribosomal RNA
Rfam family: Bacterial small subunit ribosomal RNA
Source: RNAcentral